AACUUUACAACGAGAGUAGAACCUCAGAGUUCUGAACACCAGAGUUACAAACUGACUGGUCAACAACACAACUCCUUUGGAACUGGAAGGAUGCAAUCAGGAAGCAGCAGAGAUUGAAAAAAACAUUUAAAAAAAUAAA
Molecule: non-coding RNA, 139 nt
Organism: Chelonoidis abingdonii (Abingdon island giant tortoise)
Lineage: Eukaryota; Metazoa; Chordata; Testudines; Testudinidae
Source: RefSeq, a predicted model, not a curated record